AACGCACAUUGCGCCCCUUGGUAUUCCGAGGGGCAUGCCUGUUCGAGCGUCAUUAUGACCACUCAAGCCUGGCUUGGUAUUGGAGCUCGCGGUCUCGCGGCUCUUAAAAUCAGUGGCGGUGCCAUCUGGCUCUAAGCGUAGUAAUUGAUCUCGCUAUUGGGUCCGGUGGUUGCUUGCCAACAACCCCCAACUUCUAAGGUUGACCUCGGAUCAGGUAGGGAUACCCGCUGAACUUAA
This 237-nucleotide unclassified non-coding RNA is filed under the name uncultured Helotiales. RNAcentral's name for it is "sequence contains ITS2". The stretch from base 1 to 52 matches the Rfam family "5.8S ribosomal RNA", at positions 103 to 154 of the family's 154-position model. The record is from RNAcentral. Lineage: Eukaryota; Fungi; Ascomycota; Leotiomycetes; Helotiales.